UACCGACGACGACGCUUACGAAAAAGCACAAAAUACACCUUGAGUUAUUGUGCUUUCGUUAGGGAUCCUUCUCAUGAUGGUAACUGAUCGUUUGGUGUCGAUUUUUGGGUGGUUUGGGGGCUCGUCGGAGAAACUGAAAACUCGCCGACGUUUAUCCGAAAUCUCUCUCUCUCUCUCGAGAUUUUUCUC
Long non-coding RNA from Cucurbita maxima (winter squash), 189 nucleotides. RefSeq lists it as uncharacterized. The record is from RefSeq and is a predicted model, not a curated record. The transcript has 3 exons. Lineage: Eukaryota; Viridiplantae; Streptophyta; Magnoliopsida; Cucurbitales; Cucurbitaceae.